RNAcentral lists this unclassified non-coding RNA (331 nucleotides) under Hevea brasiliensis (rubber tree). Lineage: Eukaryota; Viridiplantae; Streptophyta; Magnoliopsida; Malpighiales; Euphorbiaceae. The record is from RNAcentral.
GUUUCAAUAAACAUUUCAUACUUUGGUGGUUCCUCAUUGUUUUCUUUGAUUGCACGCAAUGUCACACGUACUCUUGCAAAACUAAUAGGUCCCAUUCGAUGUCUCCAUUUUGCUUUUUCCUUCACAAAUUGGUUGUACAGAUUACUAGAGAAUGAAAAGGAAUCUCAGCACUUGAGUUCUUCAGCUUCCACUCUUGAUUUCUUCCAUCCCUACCUCUGUAUCUUCAGCUUUUCAUCUCUUUAAGUAAAAUAUACAAUCCCUUUAAAGUUCACAGUUGGAGCUUCUUUGUUGCCUUUUUUGAAAAGUUCAUAGACACAUUGCUCUAAAAAAU